GAGGAAAAGAAAUCAACCGAGAUUCCCCCAGUAGCGGCGAGCGAACGGGGAGGAGCCCAGAGCCUGAAUCAGUGUGUGUGUUAGUGGAAGCGUCUGGAAAGGCGCGCGAUACAGGGUGACAGCCCCGUACACAAAAAUGCACAUAUUGUGAGCUCGAUGAGUAGGGCGGGACACGUGGUAUCCUGUCUGAAUAUGGGGGGACCAUCCUCCAAGGCUAAAUACUCCUGACUGACCGAUAGUGAACCAGUACCGUGAGGGAAAGGCGAAAAGAACCCCGGCGAGGGGAGUGAAAAAGAACCUGAAACCGUGUACGUACAAGCAGUGGGAGCCUCUUUUAUGGGGUGACUGCGUACCUUUUGUAUAAUGGGUCAGCGACUUAUAUUCUGUAGCAAGGUUAACCGAAUAGGGGAGCCGAAGGGAAACCGAGUCUUAACUGGGCGUUAAGUUGCAGGGUAUAGACCCGAAACCCGGUGAUCUAGCCAUGGGCAGGUUGAAGGUUGGGUAACACUAACUGGAGGACCGAACCGACUAAUGUUGAAAAAUUAGCGGAUGACUUGUGGCUGGGGGUGAAAGGCCAAUCAAACCGGGAGAUAGCUGGUUCUCCCCGAAAGCUAUUUAGGUAGCGCCUCGUGAAUUCAUCUCCGGGGGUAGAGCACUGUUUCGGCAAGGGGGUCAUCCCGACUUACCAACCCGAUGCAAACUGCGAAUACCGGAGAAUGUUAUCACGGGAGACACACGGCGGGUGCUAACGUCCGUCGUGAAGAGGGAAACAACCCAGACCGCCAGCUAAGGUCCCAAAGUCAUGGUUAAGUGGGAAACGAUGUGGGAAGGCCCAGACAGCCAGGAUGUUGGCUUAGAAGCAGCCAUCAUUUAAAGAAAGCGUAAUAGCUCACUGGUCGAGUCGGCCUGCGCGGAAGAUGUAACGGGGCUAAACCAUGCACCGAAGCUGCGGCAGCGACACUAUGUGUUGUUGGGUAGGGGAGCGUUCUGUAAGCCUGUGAAGGUGUACUGUGAGGUAUGCUGGAGGUAUCAGAAGUGCGAAUGCUGACAUAAGUAACGAUAAAGCGGGUGAAAAGCCCGCUCGCCGGAAGACCAAGGGUUCCUGUCCAACGUUAAUCGGGGCAGGGUGAGUCGACCCCUAAGGCGAGGCCGAAAGGCGUAGUCGAUGGGAAACAGGUUAAUAUUCCUGUACUUGGUGUUACUGCGAAGGGGGGACGGAGAAGGCUAUGUUGGCCGGGCGACGGUUGUCCCGGUUUAAGCGUGUAGGCUGGUUUUCCAGGCAAAUCCGGAAAAUCAAGGCUGAGGCGUGAUGACGAGGCACUACGGUGCUGAAGCAACAAAUGCCCUGCUUCCAGGAAAAGCCUCUAAGCAUCAGGUAACAUCAAAUCGUACCCCAAACCGACACAGGUGGUCAGGUAGAGAAUACCAAGGCGCUUGAGAGAACUCGGGUGAAGGAACUAGGCAAAAUGGUGCCGUAACUUCGGGAGAAGGCACGCUGAUAUGUAGGUGAAGUCCCUCGCGGAUGGAGCUGAAAUCAGUCGAAGAUACCAGCUGGCUGCAACUGUUUAUUAAAAACACAGCACUGUGCAAACACGAAAGUGGACGUAUACGGUGUGACGCCUGCCCGGUGCCGGAAGGUUAAUUGAUGGGGUUAGCGCAAGCGAAGCUCUUGAUCGAAGCCCCGGUAAACGGCGGCCGUAACUAUAACGGUCCUAAGGUAGCGAAAUUCCUUGUCGGGUAAGUUCCGACCUGCACGAAUGGCGUAAUGAUGGCCAGGCUGUCUCCACCCGAGACUCAGUGAAAUUGAACUCGCUGUGAAGAUGCAGUGUACCCGCGGCAAGACGGAAAGACCCCGUGAACCUUUACUAUAGCUUGACACUGAACAUUGAGCCUUGAUGUGUAGGAUAGGUGGGAGGCUUAGAAGUGUGGACGCCAGUCUGCAUGGAGCCGACCUUGAAAUACCACCCUUUAAUGUUUGAUGUUCUAACGUUGACCCGUGAUCCGGGUUGCGGACAGUGUCUGGUGGGUAGUUUGACUGGGGCGGUCUCCUCCUAAAGAGUAACGGAGGAGCACGAAGGUUGGCUAAUCCUGGUCGGACAUCAGGAGGUUAGUGCAAUGGCAUAAGCCAGCUUGACUGCGAGCGUGACGGCGCGAGCAGGUGCGAAAGCAGGUCAUAGUGAUCCGGUGGUUCUGAAUGGAAGGGCCAUCGCUCAACGGAUAAAAGGUACUCCGGGGAUAACAGGCUGAUACCGCCCAAGAGUUCAUAUCGACGGCGGUGUUUGGCACCUCGAUGUCGGCUCAUCACAUCCUGGGGCUGAAGUAGGUCCCAAGGGUAUGGCUGUUCGCCAUUUAAAGUGGUACGCGAGCUGGGUUUAGAACGUCGUGAGACAGUUCGGUCCCUAUCUGCCGUGGGCGCUGGAGAACUGAGGGGGGCUGCUCCUAGUACGAGAGGACCGGAGUGGACGCAUCACUGGUGUUCGGGUUGUCAUGCCAAUGGCACUGCCCGGUAGCUAAAUGCGGAAGAGAUAAGUGCUGAAAGCAUCUAAGCACGAAACUUGCCCCGAGAUGAGUUCUCCCUGACCCUUUAAGGGUCCUGAAGGAACGUUGAAGACGACGACGUUGAUAGGCCGGGUGUGUAAGCGCAGCGAUGCGUUGAGCUAACCGGUACUAAUGAACCGUGAGGCUUAACCUU
RNAcentral lists this ribosomal RNA (2692 nucleotides) under Escherichia coli. RNAcentral's name for it is "bacterial LSU rRNA". It matches the Rfam family "Bacterial large subunit ribosomal RNA". Lineage: Bacteria; Pseudomonadati; Pseudomonadota; Gammaproteobacteria; Enterobacterales; Enterobacteriaceae. The record is from RNAcentral.